RNAcentral lists this ribosomal RNA (433 nucleotides) under uncultured bacterium. RNAcentral describes it as "partial 16S ribosomal RNA". It matches the Rfam family "Bacterial small subunit ribosomal RNA", at positions 29 to 507 of the family's 1533-position model. The record is from RNAcentral.
AACGAACGCUGGCGGCAUGCCUAACACAUGCAAGUCGAACGAGACCUUCGGGUCUAGUGGCGCACGGGUGCGUAACGCGUGGGAACCUGCCCUUAGGUUCGGAAUAACUCCCCGAAAGGGGUGCUAAUACCGGAUAAUGUCCUCGGACCAAAGAUUUAUCGCCUUUGGAUGGGCCCGCGUUGGAUUAGCUAGUUGGUAGGGUAAAAGCCUGUCAAGGCGACGAUCCAUAGCUGGUCUGAGAGGAUGAUCAGCCACACUGGGACUGAGACACGGCCCAGACUCCUACGGGAGGCAGCAGUGGGGAAUAUUGGACAAUGGGCGAAAGCCUGAUCCAGCAAUGCCGCGUGAGUGAUGAAGGCCUUAGGGUUGUAAAGCUCUUUUACCCGGGAUGAUAAUGACAGUACCGGGAGAAUAAGCUCCGGCUAACUCCGUG